AUCCACCGACGUUCCCCUUCCUUCUUCUCACUCCCUAUUCCUCUGUCCAACGUGAACGAAACCCGGGAGAAGGGGAAGAGUACCGGACAUGACAAUAUGAAAAAAAAAAAAAAUUUCCCCCCUCAUGCCCAAAGCGAUUUCCAACCCAGCAGCCUAAAUUCUUGAUUUUUGAUGUGCUUGGAAAGUAUUUGAAUUGAGUGAGAAGCUGUGUACUAUGAAAAGCAAGCGUGUAUAUUUUAUUUUCUCUUUUCUUGUUAUUAGGAAGAAGUGAUAAAACCGACGACUGGCUCAGGUCUCCACAAGAACCAAAACAAAACAAAAAGGAGGCUUUAUUGUUGUGAGUAUAUUAAUCUCCAGGCAGUAAGAAUUCCGGUAUGUGGUAUUUUCAUGGGGUGUUGGAAUAUGAAAAUGUGGUUUCUAAAUGUAAAUCUUUAAAAACAUAGUCUAAUUAGAAUCCUGAACACACAGUAGGUAAUUGGUUUUGUUUUUUUUGUUGUUGUUUUGUUUUUUUGUUUGUUUUCUUUCCAAAGCUUAGCUUGGUCACAGCUUAGCUGUCGUCACAUUGUGACCCACAACGAUAGUUUAGUUUGAUUCUGACCAGGAUUAAGAAAUAAAAGGAACAGAAACUACAGCUGACAUUUUAUUGAGCAUUUACAACGGGCUAAGUAUGGGGCUAAGCACUUUAAAUACACCGUCUUAUUAUUAUUUUUUUAGGGCACGUAAAUUAGACAUGGCAAGUGGAGAGGACAAAUGACACAAAUAUUAUUUCAAGAUUCAUCCAAGGAGUCAGGUUCUAUUUAGGGGAAGCCAGAGCGUCCAAACACAGCGUCGCCAGUCGCCAACUCGAGAGGUAUGCCAGUUUCAGCUAGAACGGGACCCAAGCUCCCAAGAUGCCAAACCAGGCCAGCGAAAUAUCAAGCACAGGGGAUAACCCGGAUGACAUCGGAAGCCAUUCCCAGCAGUAGAAUCCAGUGAGUCGAAACCCCCUGGCUUAGUGAAAAAUAUUUGCAGCCCAAAUUCCUACAAGGGAA
Molecule: long non-coding RNA, 1031 nt
Filed under: Lynx pardinus (Iberian lynx)
Lineage: Eukaryota; Metazoa; Chordata; Mammalia; Carnivora; Felidae
Source: RNAcentral